RNAcentral lists this small RNA (271 nucleotides) under Oryza sativa Japonica Group (Japanese rice). RNAcentral describes it as "misc RNA BIP135". Lineage: Eukaryota; Viridiplantae; Streptophyta; Magnoliopsida; Poales; Poaceae. The record is from RNAcentral.
CUAGGGGUUGUAGACAAGAUAAAAAUGCUGUAGUUGUGAUGUUAGGCGCAAGUGCGCAACUUUUAAUGGUUGGUUGAACCCCAUGCUUGCCAAGAGGCCAAUGACAUCAUAGUUGUGUCGGAUGAUGUUGUAGCUAGCCUGUUGAUGUCUUAUUUAUUUAGGCCAUAUGAGCAAAUGAGUUUUGUAGCUAAUGUGCCGGUCUGUCAGCCCUGCCUGGCACCAUUAAGAAAUCCUGUUUUUCAGAGCUCAUAUUCCUCUGCGAGUAGAGUAU